UCACCAUUGGCCAUGUUGGUUGAAUUGUGCUAGAAAUUAUAGUCAGGGGGAAUAUUAGAUUUCCCUACCUUGAUAUGGAGAGAUGAAAAGACAGGGAAACUAAAGGAAAGACAAUGGAAAUCAAAGAGCACCAUCUGCACAAAAGAAGAAGGUAUCUCUAGCUCUGAGGAAAAACCAAAGAUUGGCAGAAGCUCAAAAACAUUUUUAGGAAAGAGUAGGGGAAAGAUUAGAGCGGAUCAUCCAUCUGAGCCAACUGAGAACUGCUCGAGGUGGGAAGCCAGGUUGAUUCUUUUGUUUCUUGGAAAGGAAAUAUUUUCAAGAGCAACUGUUACAGUUCAACUUUGAAAUGGCUGAAUGGAAAAAUAAGCAAACACACGCAAACCUCCCCCGCCUUCUCUUCAACCCCACCCCCCCUCAAUAUGGAGUGCAAUAAAUAUCAGGCAAA
This is a non-coding RNA of Pantherophis guttatus, 445 nucleotides long. Lineage: Eukaryota; Metazoa; Chordata; Lepidosauria; Squamata; Colubridae. The record is from RefSeq and is a predicted model, not a curated record.